Cucurbita maxima (winter squash) is the source of this 103-nucleotide long non-coding RNA. RefSeq lists it as uncharacterized. The record is from RefSeq and is a predicted model, not a curated record. NCBI's taxonomy places the organism in Eukaryota, Viridiplantae, Streptophyta, Magnoliopsida, Cucurbitales, Cucurbitaceae. The transcript has 3 exons.
UGAGUGUUGAAGCCGAAGAAGGAGGAGCAGCAGCAGCAGAGAUGAAGAACAGAGGCGGUGACUCGGCUCCUCCGCGGCCGUGGAUUCUUCGUUGAUAUCACUG